AUGAGAGGGAAAGAGAGAAGGAAGAACAUGAGAGGAGGGAGAAAGAGAGAGGAAAGAGGAGAGGGCGUUGACGGCCGACAGGAGAGGAUCACCGGAAGGAGUGCCGCCGGCUCGUCGUCUUUCACACCGGGUGAAGGAGCAGGGGAGGCGGGCAACAAGGAUGGGAAGCAUCGGGCCGUCAUGGUGCGGUGGAGAUGCUGGGAAGAAGGAGGAGGGCGUCUGCAUCAUCCCCAGGGGUGCUCGUGGAGCUGCUCCUCAAUGAGAUCCACCNNNNNNNNNNUCUGCCCUGCUCUCCACCGUGCCGCCUCUUCCUCCUCUUCACUGCCCUCUCUAGCGGCGGCAAAGAUCUGCCGACAAAAGGGAGACGACGGCGACGCUCGAUCCGAUCUGCUGAAGAGAAAAGAUGAGAGGGAGAGAGACAAGGAAGGAGAGGAGGGAGAAAGAUAG
This 447-nucleotide ribosomal RNA is filed under the name Triticum aestivum (bread wheat). RNAcentral describes it as "partial small subunit ribosomal RNA". Lineage: Eukaryota; Viridiplantae; Streptophyta; Magnoliopsida; Poales; Poaceae. The record is from RNAcentral.